Molecule: ribosomal RNA, 594 nt
Filed under: uncultured bacterium
Lineage: Bacteria
Description: bacterial SSU rRNA
Rfam family: Bacterial small subunit ribosomal RNA
Source: RNAcentral
GGCGGACGGGUGAGUAACGCGUAAGGAACUUGCCUCUUGGUCUGGGACAACUGUUGGAAACGACAGCUAAUACCGGAUAUUAUGAGAUUCUCGCAUGGGAAACUUAUGAAAGCUAUAUGCGCCAAGAGAGAGCCUUGCGUUCCAUUAGCUAGUUGGUGGGGUAACGGCCCACCAAGGCGACGAUGGAUAGCCGGCCUGAGAGGGUGAACGGCCACAAGGGGACUGAGACACGGCCCUUACUCCUACGGGAGGCAGCAGUGGGGAAUAUUGGACAAUGGGCCACAAGCCUGAUCCAGCAAUUCUGUGUGCACGAUGAAGGUCUUCGGAUUGUAAAGUGCUUUCAGUUGGGAAGAAGAAAGUGACGGUACCAACAGAAGAAGCGACGGCUAAAUACGUGCCAGCAGCCGCGGUAAUACGUAUGUCGCAAGCGUUAUCCGGAUUUAUUGGGCGUAAAGCGCGUCUAGGCGGAAAAAUAAGUCUGAUGUUAAAAUGCGGGGCUCAACUCCGUAUUGCGUUGGAAACUGUUUUUCUAGAGUACUGGAGAGGUGGGCGGAACUACAAGUGUAGAGGUGAAAUUCGUAGAUAUUUGUAGGA